CCCUUUGAUACUCUGGGCGGCACGCGCGCUACAAUGGAUAAUACAACGUGUUACUUAACCGAAAGGUUAUGUAAAUCACAAAUGUUACGUCUUGAAUGGGAUAGUUUAUUGCAACUACAGACUUGAACUAGGAAUCCCUUGUAGGUACACUGAAGCAUAGUGUACCGAAUACGUCCCUGCCGUUUGUACACACCGCCCGUCGUUUCUUCCGACUGAUACUCAUUGUGAAUUACGAGGAUGCGUUAGCAAAAUCGUUGUAAAUGCUGGGUAUUGGAGGAAGAAAAANUCGUAACA
RNAcentral lists this ribosomal RNA (294 nucleotides) under uncultured eukaryote. Its description in RNAcentral is "partial 18S ribosomal RNA". It matches the Rfam family "Eukaryotic small subunit ribosomal RNA", at positions 1470 to 1796 of the family's 1831-position model. The record is from RNAcentral.